Molecule: long non-coding RNA, 916 nt
Organism: Polyodon spathula (Mississippi paddlefish)
Lineage: Eukaryota; Metazoa; Chordata; Actinopteri; Acipenseriformes; Polyodontidae
Exons: 3
Source: RefSeq, a predicted model, not a curated record
GCCAAGACGAUGACCUUUAAAACCCUACUAAAUAUAUUAUUUUUGGUAAAAUGUCACCUCUGUCUUCCAUGCUGGAGUGAGUAGCAAGCUGGAGUACUGCUGUACUGCUGAAACACCAGUCGAUUCUUAAACACUUAUUAAGCUAACUUACAGACACUGACACCGUUCUUAAGAUGUAAGCGUUCUUUCUCAUGCUGUCAAGGAACUGGUUUCCACCUGCUGGGUGAAAAAAAGGGCAUGGGGUGCAUGUAGCUCAAUCACCUUCAACUCAUUUCACUGUGCUAUGGAAGCUUUUUAAGGACACACUGUAUAUCAUACACCAACUCCUGAAUGCUUUUCCUUCUCAUGUCACAAGACUUGCAAAAUCAGAUUUUCUGUCAGGUCAGUUAAUCCCCACCCUUGUCCUUAACCCUUCCCUACCAUUGCUAUAAGUAAUGAGAACUGAACAGCACAGAAUAUAAUAAUAAUACCCAACGAAUUGUGUUUAUUGUUGCUACACUAUCUACUUUUUGAUGAUUAUAGUGCUAUAAAAGAUUGUUAAAUAACCAUAUUAUUAUUAUUUGAAUUUUUACAGUAGCAUUUUCUUAAGAGGCGGAAAACACUCUUUACAUACACACAUGAUGACCACUGUGACAGGCUCCAUGUAAACUGAUUAGAAGGUUUGAUCCUGGUUGAACAACAUCAGUUUUGCUAAAAAAAUGGAAAAAGAAAGGCAAUUAUAAACCCAGCAUCUUCUGUUUCUGCUCACAUGCUGGUUACAAUGGUGUGUUCCUGCUGCCUGCUUUUCAAAUGUUGUUAUAUCACAGCUCUGGGCUCUCUGUAGAAAACGGUACUUCAAACUUGGCUUGGCAACCUGACUUUAGCAUUUGGUUCCCGGGGUAAGUUAACAAAAAAAAUCUUACUUUUCUUAUUGACA